AACGUAGGAGACAAACGUUAUCCGGAGUUACUGGGCGUAAAGGGCGUGUAGGCGGUUUGUUAAGUCUGGCGUGAAAGCUCUCGGCUAAACCGGGAGAGGUCGUUGGAUACUGGCAAACUAGAGGACGGUAGAGGCGUGUGGAAUUCCCGGUGUAGCGGUGAAAUGCGCAGAUAUCGGGAAGAACACCCGUGGCGAAGGCGGUUCUCUGGGACGGUACUGACGCUGAGACGCGAAAGCGUGGGGAGCGAACAGG
RNAcentral lists this ribosomal RNA (253 nucleotides) under uncultured bacterium. RNAcentral's name for it is "partial 16S ribosomal RNA". It matches the Rfam family "Bacterial small subunit ribosomal RNA", at positions 524 to 776 of the family's 1533-position model. The record is from RNAcentral.